UGAUGACUCUGGAUAACUUCACUGAUCGCAGUCGGCCUUGCGCCGGCGACGGAUCUUUCAAAUGUCUGCCCUAUCAAUUUUCGAUGGUAGGUGAUCUGCCUACCAUGGUUCUAACGGGUAACGGGGAAUCGGGGUUCGAUUCCGGAGAGGGAGCCUGAGAAACGGCUACCACUUCCAAGGAAGGCAGCAGGCACGCAAAUUACCCAAUCCCGGCACGGGGAGGUAGUGACGAAAAAUACGGAUACGGGACUCGAUAGAGGCUCCGUAAUUCGAAUGAGUACAAUUUAAAUCCUUUAACGAGGAUCAACUGGAGGGCAAGUCUGGUGCCAGCAGCCGCGGUAACUCCAGCUCCAGAAGCGUAUAUUAAAGUUGUUGCAGUUAAAAAGCUCGUAGUUGGAUCUGGGUCGCAUGGCUACAUGCCGUCGCUUGUGAACUUGUCCUGGUAACUGCUGGGGCAGGCUCGCGAGUCGG
The sequence is a ribosomal RNA, 471 nucleotides long. It matches the Rfam family "Eukaryotic small subunit ribosomal RNA", at positions 244 to 710 of the family's 1831-position model.